CAGACCCUCUCUCUCUCUCUCUCUCUCUCUCUCUCAUAUGGAGCUCUCGGUGACUCCUCCGUCUUCCCUCCAUAUUCCGGCCAUCAACCCUCUACGCAGCUCCGCCUCGUCUCGCCGUCGUGAUGGGCGCGGCGGCAAGCCGACGUGCCAAUGCUCCACCGUUCUCCAAUUCAAGUUCUCGCAGAGUUCGCCGUCGCUCGGCGCGUCCAGUCCGAAAAGCCGGUCGAGACCUGCCCCGAGAAGAUCCGAUGGGAGGAACCUUAUCCAGGCCUGUGCUCGAGUUGGAGCAGCUGGAUCUGAUCCUAUAGUGAGUAAAGUCUCUGAGUUUAAAGAUGCAUGUUGGAGAUUUUAAGACCUCAUACAAUAAGAGGGAACAUCUCUAGGCUCCUUUUUACUUGAACUUAUUCUUGCUCAUCAACGGUUCAUGGGUGGCUAGAGCUCUGAUUGAGAACUCGCACCUGAUAAAGUGGUCCCUUCUGCUUAAAGCAUUCUCUGGUCUUUUUGCUCUAAUAUGUGGGAAUGGAUAUAUUGUUGGCAUCAAUCAGAUAUACGAUAUUGGCAUUGACAAGUACGUGGUGCUUGCUUGAACAUUGUUUUAUUAAAAUAUAUCUGGCUAGAUGGGUGUUGGUUACAGCAUCACUAUUACUAGCAUGAGAAGAACUGAAAAGUUACAAGAUAUUGGAACUGAGAAACAGAGCAAAAUUACUUCCAGCCUCAACAUAGAUGUUUGAAGUGAGAAAGAAUGAAUGUGUUCAUAAUGAAUAAUGAGACAAUGCGGCAUCCCAAUUUUUACUGGACAUCAGAUUUAGGUCAGUGUUUGAGGUACCGUGCAAGCACUCACUGUUAUUUUGGAGGUCCAUCUUUUUAAUUAACCUUCUUGUCAUGCCUUUGCUUUUGAGGAUCAAUGUCCUCAACUUCCUCUCCAGUUUUAUGAUUAGUAUCUUUUUUUAUCUUAUUUCAGGGUCAACAAACCUUACUUGCCUAUAGCAGCAGGAGAUCUUUCUAUUCAACAUGCCUGGCUUUUGGUGAUUUUUUUUGCAGUGACUGGCCUGUCGAUUGUUGCUUCGAACUUUGGAUCAUUCAUCACUUCUCUUUACAGUCUGGGUCUUUUUCUUGGAAUCAUCUACUCUGUUCCUCCUUUUAGGAUGAAGAGAUUUCCUGUCGCAGCAUUUCUUAUUAUUGCCACAGUAUAUUUUCUGACUUUUUUUUUUCCGUAGAAUUGAGUAGUUUAAAUUUACUUCAUCUUUUUGUGCCUUGCUGGAGGACUAUGUUCGACUCUUUUUUGGGGGAUAUUGUACUUGUAUUGGCAACCUAACUAAUAAAGUAUUGGUAUAUGACCUUUAAGGCUAUGACGGAUACUUCAUCGCAAUAUCUUAGAAAAAGAAUUGUCAAAACGUUUGGCAAGUCCUAAACUGUCCAGAGACUCCACACUUAUGAUGCUGCAUGUAAAAUGCAAAAUAGUGUAUUCUUUUAUAAAU
Eucalyptus grandis is the source of this 1478-nucleotide long non-coding RNA. RefSeq lists it as uncharacterized. The record is from RefSeq and is a predicted model, not a curated record. The transcript has 3 exons. NCBI's taxonomy places the organism in Eukaryota, Viridiplantae, Streptophyta, Magnoliopsida, Myrtales, Myrtaceae.